AGAAAAGUAAGCUAAACAACCCAAGCUAGUGGGCUCAUACCCCAUGUAUGGAGAAACUCCCUUCUCUU
RNAcentral lists this transfer RNA (68 nucleotides) under Chorisoserrata biceps. RNAcentral describes it as "tRNA-Met". The record is from RNAcentral. Lineage: Eukaryota; Metazoa; Arthropoda; Insecta; Blattodea; Pseudophyllodromiidae.